Uranotaenia lowii is the source of this 313-nucleotide long non-coding RNA. RefSeq lists it as uncharacterized. Lineage: Eukaryota; Metazoa; Arthropoda; Insecta; Diptera; Culicidae. The record is from RefSeq and is a predicted model, not a curated record. The transcript is spliced from 3 exons.
CCACAGAGGAAAGUUAAAACAAGUACCUAAAUACAUCCUAUCUAGUUCAAAAAUGAAUUCUAAAAUCGCUGUGAUACUGGCUGUUUUAGUAUUGCUUGCUUAUUCAGGCAAAACAGAUUCAGUAGAUAAUGGACCCAAAGAAGAUGAACCCCAGCCAUCUAUUAUAGAAGACGAUGUUGUUAUUCCUUCGCCAAGUAAAUCUGCAAAGAGUUUUUGCAUUGGGAAACUAUGUGUAGAUGUUGACGUGCAUUUUAAUGUUUAAUAAAAUAUGUAAAUCAGUGCUUAAGUGGAGUUUAGUUUAUUUGAAAGAGAG